AGUGGCGCACGGGUGAGUAACGCGUGGAUAUCUGCCUUUUGGUUCGGAAUAACCCCGGGAAACUGGGGCUAAUACCGGAUGGUUCCUACGGGAUAAAGAUUUAUCGCCAAAAGAUGAGUCCGCGUACGAUUAGCUAGUUGGUGAGGUAAUGGCUCACCAAGGCGACGAUCGUUAGCUGGUCUGAGAGGACGAUCAGCCACACUGGGACUGAGGCACGGCCCAGACUCCUACGGGAGGCAGCAGUGGGGAAUAUUGGACAAUGGGGGCAACCCUGAUCCAGCCAUGCCGCGUGAGUGAUGAAGGCCUUCGGGUUGUAAAGCUCUUUUGGCGGGGACGAUGAUGACGGUACCCGCCGAAUAAGCCCCGGCUAACUUCGUGCCAGCAGCCGCGGUAAGACAAAGGGGGCUAGCGUUGUUCGGAAUUACUGGGCGUAAAGCGAGUGUAGGUGGUCAUCCAAGUUGGAUGUGAAAGCCUUGAGCUCAACUCCAGAAAUGCAUUCAG
Molecule: ribosomal RNA, 501 nt
Filed under: uncultured bacterium
Lineage: Bacteria
Description: bacterial SSU rRNA
Rfam family: Bacterial small subunit ribosomal RNA
Source: RNAcentral